Molecule: ribosomal RNA, 1543 nt
Filed under: Equus caballus (horse)
Lineage: Eukaryota; Metazoa; Chordata; Mammalia; Perissodactyla; Equidae
Description: Eukaryotic small subunit ribosomal RNA
Rfam family: Eukaryotic small subunit ribosomal RNA
Source: Rfam by way of RNAcentral
UACCUGGUGUGAUCCUGCUAGUGGCAUGUACUUGUCACAUGGAGGUACACACGCCUAAGUGCACUCGGCUGGUACCCAGAAAGUGCAAAACACUCAUUAAAUCAGUUAUGGUUCCUCUGGUUACUCGCUCCUCUGCUACUCGAGUUAACUGAUAAUUCUAGAAAAACGUGUGUGACAGGCGCUGACCACCUUCACGUGGGGUGGGGGGUGGGGGGGGGAAUACAUGCAUUUACCAAAUCAAAGCCAACCCCGUCAGCCUUCCUCAGCUGCAGCUUUGAUGACUAGGUAACCUCAGGCUGAUCAAAUGUCCCUCCCCAUGGUGGUGAUGACUCAGUCAAAUAUCUGUCUUAUCGACUCUCGAUGGCAGUUACCAUGCCUACCAUGUGACCAGGGGUGAUGGGGAAUCAGGGUUCAAUUCCUGGGAGGGAGCCUGAAAAACAGCUACUACAUCCAAGGAUGGCAGUGAGUAUGCAAAUUACCCACUCCCCACCUAGAGAGAUGGACAAAAACCACCUGAUUUUCUAGGCCCCUGGAACGAGCCCACUUUAAGGAGGAUCCUUUGGAGGGAAAGUCUGGUGCUGGCAGCUGCAGCAGCUCAAGCUCCAGUGGCAUAUAUUAAAUCGAGACUUCAGGAGUAGGUCAGCAGUUCCCGCCCCUUGCCUCUCAGCACCCCCUUGAUGCUCUUAGCCGAGUGACCAGCUGGAGCCUGAGCCUUACUCUGAAAAUAUUAGUGUUCAAAGCAGGCCCUAGCCUGCUGGAUAGCGGACCAGCGUUAUUAGUCGGUUUAGGGGACUGAGGCCAUGGUUACGAGGAAUGGCCAAGGACAAUGUAUUGGGCUUAUGGAGGUGAAAUUCUUGGACCAGCACAAGAUGGACCCAGAGCAAAAGCAUUUGCCAAGAAUGUUCUCAUUAAUGAGAACCAAAGUCAGAGGUGGAAAGAUCAGAUGCGUGGUAGUUCCAACUACAAACGGCCUGGACACAGACAGCCUUGAGAGGUUGACAGCUCUUUCUUGAUUCUGUGGGUGGUGUAGGGCUGUUCUUAGUUGGUGGAGCGACUGUCCCGUUAAUUCCGAUAAACAAGGAGACUCUAGCGUGCUAACUAGUUACGUGACCCCCCAAGCAGUCUGCGUCCCUCAACUUCUUAGAGGGAAAAGUCUUCAGCCACCCGGGAUUGAGCAAUAACAAGCCUGUGAUGCCCUGAGAGGUCGGGGCUGCGUGCGCGUGCACCACGCGGACUGGUUCGGCGCGCGCCUACCCAACGCCAGCAGGUGUGAGGACCCGCUGAACCCCACUCGUGAUGGGGAUCCCGGCAUGCGGUUAUUCCCCAGUUAUUCCCCAUAACCGAGGAAUUCCCAGUACGUGAGGGGCAUAAGUCCCUGACCUUUGUCCACACCGCUGGUCGCUACCACCGAAUAGAUGGUUUACAGAGACCCUCAGGUCGUUCGCCACGGCCCUGGCGGAGCGCUGAGCAGACGGUAGAACUUCGGAGGAGGUGAAAAUGCUAAGGACGUUUCCGCAGGUGGCCCGGCCGGGAAGGGUCAUCA